RNAcentral lists this transfer RNA (71 nucleotides) under Loxosceles similis. RNAcentral's name for it is "tRNA-Asp". The record is from RNAcentral. Lineage: Eukaryota; Metazoa; Arthropoda; Arachnida; Araneae; Sicariidae.
AAGAUAAUAAUAAGUUUUAUAAUAUUAGUAUGUCAUACUAAAGAGGUGAAUAUCCCUCAGUUAAGCCCUUU